GUGCUCGCUUUGGCAGCACAUAGAUUAAAACUAGAGCAAUACAGAGAAGAUCAGCAUGGCCUCUGCACAAGACUGACACAAAAAAUUUGAAGUAUUCCAUAUUUUU
Molecule: small nuclear RNA, 106 nt
Organism: Cebus imitator (Panamanian white-faced capuchin)
Lineage: Eukaryota; Metazoa; Chordata; Mammalia; Primates; Cebidae
Source: Ensembl